GUCCCUCGCUUACACCGAGAAAAUAUCCGUGAGACUCGGAUUGUUUUGA
RNAcentral lists this transfer RNA (49 nucleotides) under Limnonectes plicatellus (Penang wart frog). RNAcentral describes it as "partial tRNA-Val". The record is from RNAcentral. Lineage: Eukaryota; Metazoa; Chordata; Amphibia; Anura; Dicroglossidae.